CGACGACGAGCCGCGGUCCGUGGUGAUCCGCGGCUUCGGCCCGCGCUGGGCCGAAGCGCCGGCGCUGCCCGGCGUCGUCGA
RNAcentral lists this transfer RNA (81 nucleotides) under Arthrobacter sp. Bi26. RNAcentral's name for it is "tRNA-Arg". Lineage: Bacteria; Bacillati; Actinomycetota; Actinomycetes; Micrococcales; Micrococcaceae. The record is from RNAcentral.